Long non-coding RNA from Meriones unguiculatus (Mongolian gerbil), 1115 nucleotides. RefSeq lists it as uncharacterized. Lineage: Eukaryota; Metazoa; Chordata; Mammalia; Rodentia; Muridae. The record is from RefSeq and is a predicted model, not a curated record. The transcript is spliced from 4 exons.
CGGACUCCAUUCAUAGCCCUCUGCGCCGGGUCGGGGUCCUCUUAGGGAGCCGCUGCCGCCGUUUGCUGCUCGAGGCCGCGCUUCGAGGCGGGCUCCGAAGGCCCGACCCAAUAGAAAGCGGGUUUUGUCAGCAGAGGGGCUUCUCCAUGUCUGACAGCUUGCCCUUGUUCACCCAAGUUACAGUUUGGAAAAUAACCUGUGGAAACAGGGAAGGAUGAGCAGAAGUCUGUACCUCCCAGAAAUCAUGUUAUAUUUAAUGAAGACCAAAUGCCAUUUUACUGAACAAUGACAAGAAAGAUAUACAUGCUUAGCAGAUGUGCAAGUUAUUUCAAAUAUUGUCAGUCUACUGCUCGUUGAAUCCAUGGAGGCAGAAGCCACAGAUAAGAAGACUAAUGUCUCUUCCCUCAAAUGCACCUGCCAGAACUGUGUGAGAGAGUGUGGACAUUGGCUGGCCUGCUUGUAAAAGAAAACAAAGGGCUAAGCACACCCUUGAAGGUGUUUCUGACAUUUCUAAACCUUUUGCCAAAAAAACCCAAAUUCCAGUCUGGGCCAGAGAACAGAACUCGCGUUUGUCCUGAUGUUCUGAUCAUCACCCAUUGCUGAAGAAGAAUCAGGACUCAGGACACCACACAUCUAGACUUUGCCACUGGGUUUCAAGACAUCAGCCAUAUGCUGUCAUCGUGCCAUUCUCCACCGAAAGAGAGAAAGAAAAUGUAUGAUAGCCAACUAGAAGAUAACAAGGUAUCUCCUAUUAAAGCUUAAUAGUACUUACUAUAUUUAGCUUCUUAUAGCAGUAAAUAUAUAUGUGUGUGUUAACUGUAAAGAAGUUAAGAAAUGCACAUAAAGACGAGAAUACAGCAAAACCUUAUCCCAAGCUUAAUAGUACUUACUAUAUUUAGCUUCUUAUAGCAGUAAAUAUAUAUGUGUGUUAACUGUAAAGAAGUUAAGAAAUGCACAUAAAGACGAGAAUACAGCAAAACCUUAUCCCAAGAGACUCCUGCUUUUAGCGUUUUAUAGCAUACUUCUCUAAGCUUUAAUAAAAUGUUUCAGUGAUUAAAAAAUAGAACAGUGCUACGUAUAUAGUUUCUCUGUCUUGCUUUCUUAGCAAUAUAAAC